AACGAUGAAACUUAAAUGAUUUCUUCGGAAUGAACUUAAGUGGAUUAGUGGCGGACGGGUGAGUAACGCGUGAGUAACCUGCCUUACACAAGGGGAUAGCCGUUGGAAACGACGAAUAAUACCCUAUGAAACUAUCACUUCGCAUGAAGCGAUAGUCAAAGUGUUAGCGGUGUAAGAUGGACUUGCGUCUGAUUAGCUAGUUGGUGAGAAAAAAGCCCACCAAGGCAACGAUCAGUAGCCGGCUUGAGAGAGUGUACGGCCACAUUGGGACUGAGACACGGCCCAGACUCCUACGGGAGGCAGCAGUGGGGAAUUUUGCACAAUGGGGGAAACCCUGAUGCAGCGACGCCGCGUGAUUUAGAAGGCCUUCGGGUUGUAAAAAUCUUUUGUAUAGGAAGAAAAUGACAGUACUAUACGAAUAAGGUCCGGCUAAUUACGUGCCAGCAGCCGCGGUAAUACGUAAGGACCGAGCGUUGUCCGGAAUCAUUGGGCGUAAAGGGUACGUAGGCGGGUCAUUAAGUUAGAAGUCAAAGGCUAUAGCUCAACUAUAGUAAGCUUCUAAAACUGGCGACCUUGAGUAAUGGAAGGGAAAGUGGAAUUCCUAGUGUAGCGGUGGAAUGCGCAGAUAUUAGGAGGAAUACCGGUGGCGAAGGCGACUUUCUGGCCAUUAACUGACGCUGAGGUACGAAAGCGUGGGUAGCAAACAGGAUUAGAUACCCUGGU
Molecule: ribosomal RNA, 723 nt
Filed under: uncultured Anaerococcus sp.
Lineage: Bacteria; Bacillati; Bacillota; Tissierellia; Tissierellales; Peptoniphilaceae
Description: bacterial SSU rRNA
Rfam family: Bacterial small subunit ribosomal RNA
Source: RNAcentral